RNAcentral lists this unclassified non-coding RNA (225 nucleotides) under Hevea brasiliensis (rubber tree). The record is from RNAcentral. Lineage: Eukaryota; Viridiplantae; Streptophyta; Magnoliopsida; Malpighiales; Euphorbiaceae.
UGUUUGUCUAGACAUUUCUGAUAUUUGUCCCAAUUACCCAGAAGGCUAUUUUUGCAAGCAUUCUGUUUACCUUGUUUCCAGGAAUCUAGUAGUCAACCCUUGACGUAUUUGUUCAUUUUAUCUCAUGUUCUGUUGGAUUUUUGUGUUGAAAUUUUGUUCGCUUUCAUUGGUUAUGGACUUGAGAAAUGAAUUUCACUAUUUUAGGGUUAUGGGAAUUUGCUGAUG